RNAcentral lists this ribosomal RNA (450 nucleotides) under uncultured bacterium. RNAcentral's name for it is "bacterial SSU rRNA". It matches the Rfam family "Bacterial small subunit ribosomal RNA", at positions 30 to 475 of the family's 1533-position model. The record is from RNAcentral.
AUUGAACGCUGGCGGCAGGCCUAACACAUGCAAGUCGAGCGAGAAAGGUCUUCGGACUGAGUACAGCGGCGGACGGGUGAGUAAUGCGCAGGAAUCUACCUGGUAGUGGGGGAUAACUCGGGGAAACUCGAACUAAUACCGCAUACGCCUACGGGGAAAGGCGGGGACCGUUCGGGCCUCGCGCUAUCAGAUGAGCCUGCGUAGGAUUAGCUUGUUGGUGAGGUAAAGGCUCACCAAGGCGACGAUCCUUAGCUGGUCUGAGAGGAUGAUCAGCCACACUGGAACUGAGACACGGUCCAGACUCCUACGGGAGGCAGCAGUGGGGAAUAUUGCGCAAUGGGCGAAAGCCUGACGCAGCCAUGCCGCGUGUGUGAAGAAGGCCCUUGGGUUGUAAAGCACUUUCAAUUGGGAAGAAAGGUUAGCGUGUUAAUAGACACGUAGCUGUGACGG